GGUGUUGUAGCUCAAAUGGUAAAGCACUUGCCUAGCACAUAUGAGGCACUGGAUUCAAUUCUCAGCACCA
Molecule: transfer RNA, 70 nt
Filed under: Marmota monax (woodchuck)
Lineage: Eukaryota; Metazoa; Chordata; Mammalia; Rodentia; Sciuridae
Description: tRNA.Ala
Source: RNAcentral